GGCUACAGAGGGAGGGAAAACAGGUUACCAAAAUAGUUAGAACCAUGCAAGUCCCGUGGGCUACUCUAUGGGUUUUGCUUUUCCAGCAAUUGGCGGGAGGCAGGGGGAGUCUCUGUCACCCACAUGGAUGUUGAAACAUUCAAAAUAUACCUCUAGAACAGGUCACCUCCUACUUGAACAGGCAGGAUCUAGCUGUGUUGUAAUGGCAUGAAGAAUAUCAAGGUGGCAAACAUCUGCUUCACAUUUAAGAGCUAAGAUUUUAGCUCCUUGGAUCCUCUGCUGAUGCCAGCUGAGAUGAGGGUGCUUGCUAAAAACCUGGGUCUCUUUCACCCCUCAUUUCACACAGUGUCAGAGAUUUGGGGUCUUUAGAGACCUGGCCCUUCUCAUACCAAUCGGCCAAGGAAAAAUGCUCUUAACCUUGUGCCUUGGGCUCUUAUACUACUCUUUUAAAAACAACUUAAAAAAAAGUUAGUAAGAAUAAAAAGUUCCCAUUCCAUAGUUGGAUUAAUGGGCUGUGGUUUGUAGGAGUCUGUGUCCUUGGGAGAGUGUUUUCAGUGGGGGAGGGAAGGUUUAAAAUCAACCCGUUUUCCAAAAAUAGUUGUGAUUGAAAGUGUUAUUAUCCAUAACAAAUGUUAGUGCUGAUGGGAGAGAGGCAUGUGUGAUUCUUUUGUCUAACAGACAAGUGAAAGUCAUAUUUCACAUUAUCACGGGGUUUUCUGUGAUUUACAGAAUAUUUGUGAAACAUUACUUGCAGGGGCCAUGAUUGAUAUGGAGAGAACAGCUUGUGUGUAGGGGAGAUGUGUAUUUCACGAAGACUGUUCAACAUGAAAUUUACAGUCCCAUAAAGUGCUUCUACAUCUUCGCCAGAGAUCUAGUUAAAAGGACUUUACAGUCUGAAACAUCCUAAAAUUGAUUCUAAAUUAACGUUUCCUCACAUGUAUUUGAGAUAUUGAUGGGGCCCAGCUAUCAGAAUUUUAUUAGGAAGCAAUAAUCUGAGGCACACUGAGACAGACAUACAUACACACCAACCUCCACUACUCCCCAGAGGACACUGGAUAUGCGCUCUCAGGAAGGGCGUCCACGUAGCCUCAGGGAUGGAGACAACCACGAAAUCCUGUCAGCCUUAACAGCCAGGAAAGGAAAACCAACAAAUGGCAGCUUUAAAGGUCACAGUGAUUCAGCUGUCCAUCAGUGAGUAUGUGGGGCAGGCCCAUCAAGCAGCACUGUGUGAGGCGCUGCGGGACAUGCGGGGUGGAAUACAGCACUGCCAGGGCCCUUGAGGAGCCCCAGAUCUUGUGACAGUGGGAGAACAUGAGACUUGGAGUCAGACUGGGAGCCAAGGAGAGAGGCCUCAGGAGAAACCAGUCCUGCAACCCCUUGAUCUCAGACACCUUGAUCAGAACCUCCAGACUGUGAGAUAACCAAUAUCCAUUGUUUAAGCCACCCAGCCUAUUGUGCUUUGUGAUGGCAGCCCCAGCAAACUCCUACAUCACCCUCACUUAAUUUAUCUGUUUUAGGCAGUAUUUAUUUCUUGCUCUGACAGUUGAGGAAUUAGCUUUCUCGUACCAUGCUAACUUCCAUUUUUUCUUCUCCCCUUAUCCUCAUAAUAUAGUUUUCCACAAUUUAUAGUUAAAUCAAUAGUUAGUGUUUACAUUAUUGAUUAGGUAAAUAAAUACUGUCCACUCAA
This is a long non-coding RNA of Herpailurus yagouaroundi (jaguarundi), 1687 nucleotides long. RefSeq lists it as uncharacterized. The record is from RefSeq and is a predicted model, not a curated record. The transcript has 2 exons. Lineage: Eukaryota; Metazoa; Chordata; Mammalia; Carnivora; Felidae.